UACGUAGGGGGCAAGCGUUGUCCGGAUUUAUUGGGCGUAAAGAGCGUGUAGGCGGCCAGACAGGUCUGCUGUGAAAACUCGAGGCUCAACCUCGAGACGCCGGUGGAAACCGUCUGGCUAGAGUCCGGAAGAGGAGAGUGGAAUUCCUGGUGUAGCGGUGAAAUGCGCAGAUAUCAGGAGGAACACCGAUGGCGAAGGCAGAUCUCUGGGCCGUAACUGACGCUGAGGAGCGAAAGCAUGGGGAGCGAACAGG
Molecule: ribosomal RNA, 253 nt
Filed under: uncultured bacterium
Lineage: Bacteria
Description: partial 16S ribosomal RNA
Rfam family: Bacterial small subunit ribosomal RNA
Source: RNAcentral